GGAGGUGGCAAGCGUUACUCGGAAUCAUUGGGUGUAAAGGGCAAGUAGGCGGUCUAUUAAGUGAGGGGUGAAAUCUUCCGACUCAAUCGGGAAAUUGCCUUUCAAACUGAUAGACUUGAGGUAGGAAGGGGGAAACGGAAUUCUCGGUGUAAGGGUGAAAUCUGUAGAUAUCGAGAAGAACACCGGCGGCGAAGGCGGUUUCCUGGUCCUACCCUGACGCUGAAUUGCGAAAGCUAGGGGAGCAAACAGAAUUAGAUACUCUGGUAGUCCUAGCCGUAAAUGAUGAGCACUAGGUGUUGGCCUUUUUGGGGUCAGUGCCGCAGCUAACGCAUUAAGUGCUCCACCUGAGGACUAUGGUCGCAAGGCUA
RNAcentral lists this ribosomal RNA (368 nucleotides) under uncultured bacterium. Its description in RNAcentral is "bacterial SSU rRNA". It matches the Rfam family "Bacterial small subunit ribosomal RNA", at positions 527 to 896 of the family's 1533-position model. The record is from RNAcentral.